RNAcentral lists this ribosomal RNA (468 nucleotides) under uncultured bacterium. Its description in RNAcentral is "partial 16S ribosomal RNA". It matches the Rfam family "Bacterial small subunit ribosomal RNA", at positions 28 to 507 of the family's 1533-position model. The record is from RNAcentral.
GACGAACGCUGGCGGCGUGCUUAACACAUGCAAGUCGAACGGACAGGCCCUGCUUUUGUGUGGUGCUCGAUUGGCGAACGGGUGAGUAUCACGUGAGUAUCCUCCCCUUGUCUUUGGGGUAUCUUCAGGAAACUGGGGCUCAUAUCGGAUAGGAUCUCUUGCUGCAUGUUGUGGGUUGGAAAGUUUCGGCGGUUGGGGCUCGUCUCGCUGCUUCUCCGCUUGUUUGUGUGGUAGUUACUUACCAAGGUUUUGACGGCUAGCCGGCCUGAGAGGGUUACCGGCCACAAUGGGACUGAGGUACGGACCAGAAUCCAACGGGAGGCAGCAGGGGGAAAUAUUGCGCAAUGGGCGGAAGCCUGAUGCAGAAACGCCGCGUGCGGGAUGACGGCCUUCGGGUUGUAAACCGAUUUCGACUGUGACGAAGAGUGAGUGACGGUAAUGGGUAAAGAAGCACCGGCUAACUACGUG